UCAAGGUUCAAUUUCUAUAUUCAGUUCUCUGUAUACUUGUGUUUGGUUAUGAAAAACCUGCAUUAAGUUAGUAGAUUCCCAUUUUUGGUGGGAAUGUGGACGUUGUUAUAAUCCAGUCAGAAAACUAGAAAGCAAGGGUGCCGGGGUGAUUCAGUCAGUUGAGCGUUCGACUCUUGAUUUCGGCUCGGGUCAUGAUUCCAGGGUCUGGGAUCGAGCCCUGAGUCAGGCUCUGUGCUCACUGUGGAGCCUGCUUAAGAUUUUCACUCUCUUUCUCCCUCUGCCCCCUCCUGGACUCAUGCUUGCUCUCGCUCGCUCGCUCUCGAGAGUAAAACACACACACACGCACACACACACACACACACACAUACACACACACAAAACCAAUUGGAAAUCAAAUAUGUGGUUCUGUAUUAUAAAUUUACUAGUUUGGAAUUUUUUUUUAUUCCAAAGGGCAAAAAAUUAACUAGAGCACCAUUUUUGAUUUCCUCAUUUUUCCAGAGCAAAACUAUCUCAUACCAAGAACAUUGGUGAAGAAUUAAGGAAUCUGGUGGAGAGGUGUGGAUUGGCCUAGAUUAGAAUAGUCUGGGGAAGGGGGGCUGAUGAAUAAUACUUGAAGAACCGACAUAUAACAGUGGGAAGAAAUUUGUCAGUCAUCCCAAAGGCCAGAACCAAGAUGAGAUCAAGGUUACAGUGUAAGGGGUAAAAAAAUGUUCUAGCCAUUGGUACUGAAAGAUGGCGUCACAAAAUGGUGAGACCCUACCCCGGGAGGAAUUCACGCAGUCAGGAAGGUAGGCCCUAUGGAGGCUGAGAGCUGGUUGUCCUGUGUGGACAGCCUGAGAGGCGGUACCAAGGAGUCGUUCACCUCUAAGGCCCCAUGUCAUCACCACUGUAACUCACCAGAACUGCUCGCAGGUCCUUGAGGGGAGAACGGGGCUGGUGGAUGGUGCAUUCGAAGCGCGGACGUUCUGCGGGUUGAUCAACCUCUUUGGCUAUCUGAGGAAAAAGAAGGAGAUUCUUGCUGAUGGAGAUAAAGAAAUGGAAUGGUGUUUCCCACUUCUACCAAAGAUUGUGCGUGGAAAGGCGCAGGCCGUAGGACCAGUGUUGGCUGGAGCAGCCAACCACGCAUAAGGUCAGCAGAAGAAAUCCAGCGACAAGUUUUGGAAUCGCCUCCAUUCUGAGGAACACGAUGGAACAGUCAGAGGAGCCCCAGACUGGGUUGAGCAAAAAGUAAAGACCUCUUUGUGUUACUUCUUCUAGACAACUGAAUGGGUGGAGAAAAAAAAAAAAAGUGAGAAGGACAACAUUUUUCAUCUUGGGCAUCUUCCUCCGGCCCUGAAAUUCUCAUCUGACACUCUGCGACAUAUGUAGUGGGGUCAACAUCUCUUCAAAUAUAGCUCCCUUCACGUUGGAACCUCUCAGGUUGGCUUCUUGAAGAUCGCACCCAGACAGGUCGCAAUUCUGCAAGACAAAAACAAUAUUCAUGAAUCUAAGAUUCCUGGGGCACAUGAGGAAAAUGUUCCAACGUCAUGAAACCCUGUUAUUUCUGGAAGACUGCCGUGUUAGAAAAAAGUCAGAUUUUCUUCUAUAUCUGGAGUUGUUUUCUGUAGGUGAGUGGUCAGGCUGACAGUCACAAAUACUGACAGAGGUUAAAGAGGAAGUGUGUGUGUCUCUUCUGUUCCCAUAUUUUAGAAUCGGUCAUUUAAAACCCAGAAUGGACUCCAACGUAAUAAAUAUUAUCUAUGCAAAUUUACCACAAUCCGAGGACAACAAAAGGCAGGGCAGGUAAGCACUAUUAAAAAAAAAAACCCAAAAACCUGAGGGGCACCUGGGUGGCUCAGUCAGUUAAGCGUCCGACUUCAGCUUGGGUCAUGAUCUCACGGUUCGUGGGUUUGAACCCCGUGUUGGGCUCCAUGCUGACAGCUCAGUGCCUGGAACCUGCUUCAGAUUCUGUGUCUCUCGCUCUCUCUGCCUCUCCCCUGCUCCUGCUCUGUCUCUGUCUCUCAAAAAUAAAUAGAUGUUUAAAAAAUUUAAAAAGAGAACAACUGAAAGAGAUCUUACUUACUAAUUACAUUAUAAUAGAUUUUUCCAUUCCCCAACUCGAACAUUUUUAUAGCAGGGAACUGCUUUUUUUUUUUUUUAAAACCCCAAAUUAUGUGCACAAUUCAAUGAGUUUUAACAAAUGUAUAUACAACAGUGUAACUACCACCACAGUUGGAAGCUGCUUUUAAAUUUCUCUUGAGAUCACAGAGUGGCAGAUGAGACAGAUCAUGGGUAAGUCCUUGGGGAUGGUGGGUGACUGCACAUAACCUUUUAGGACAGAAUGUCACCAGCUGCCCUUCAAACAGUCAACCUGACUAGUCUGCAUUCAGUUGCCAUCAGGAAGACUUCUGGUGUUUACCUACAUGGUAACUAAAACCAAGGGGAAAAAAAAUCAUCAUUUUUGGUGACAGUACCAAAGAAUAAAAAAUUAAGGAACUGUGCUUAUAAUAGGCUUCUAUUUUGGGCCUUGGGCAGGUUCUUUUUGCCUUUAAGUUUAAUGGGGCCUGCCACUCUACUGCUAAGAUCUGUCAAGAGAACAAAGCAGAAACAUUAAAAGGGAAAAAUCAAUGACAAGCCAAAUUUUGACCCACUCUUCUCUCCAAUCCGAUCUAUGCCAGGUUUUCCCGGAUAAGGCUGUGCUGUUCAAUAUGAUGGCAACAGCCACAUGUGGCUACUUAUAUUUAAAUGAAUUAAAAUUAAGUAAAAUUUAAAAAUCUGUUUCUCAGUUACACUGGCCAUAUAUCAAGUGCUCAACAGCCACAGCGCCUGGUGGCUACUGUCCCAAACAGAUUUAGAACGCAUCCAGCAUUGCAAAAAGUGCUAUGGGACGGCACCAAGAGACCUAUCAACAGCCCUUGAGCCUGCCAGCUACAUUUGCGAAUCAAGACAACAUAUAUAAUUCUGAUGAAAAAGACGCGCAAAGUUAAAAGCUCAAAUUGUGAUUCAAAAAGAACACGAUUCCAAUUUAGAAUAGGCUCUCUCUUAACCUGAUUUCAAACCUGGAUAUCUUUUACAUUUCUCGAACAGUUAAAAAGAUAAUCUGGCCCCAUUUAAUUCUGUCUGGACUUAAAACUGAAGAAAAACACAAUAAAUUCCAUUAGUAAAGCAGUCAUCAAACUCAUCUACUUGAAGGAGACCCAAGGAACAGAGGACAAAUGAAAUCGGCUUCGACCGACUGUCAGAUGAAUCUUUCAAUCUGAAACUGGGACCCAUGGCCUGUGUGACUGAAUCCUGCUCUGGGAGGCACGUCUGCUGAAACAAGCAAUCGACAGGAGACACCGCUCCGGCUGUGCGGGCGUGCUCCCUGGCAGUUUUUACCAGCCAAUGACUUUGUUGGCGACCUCGAUACAUUUUGCAGGACAGGCUCAGUGACUGUAACGCUCUUCAGACAUUGGUGACUCACCUCUAAAUCCGUUCCUGCCAGAGUUGCGCCUCGGAGGUUACAGUUCUUCAACUUCGCAUUUUUUAAGGUAGCAACUCUCAGGUUAAUUCCUGUCAUUUGACUUCCUUCCAUAUCCACACCUUUCAGAUUAGCACCUAUGGUGAAUAUAUUUUGAUAGCAGUUGAACUUCAAAAUAUUUAUAGUCCUCUCCCUUCAAAAAACCGCAGGUUUAGUUUACUUAAUGGAGGUGAAUGACAGGCUCUUUAACUUUUGGAAAGGACUCCGUGAACCAUAAAUCUCAGUCUCUCAACCAACUUACACAUAUAAAGCGUUCAUUGUUAACAAUCUGUUUGCUUGUUCUAUGAAUUAAGAAUGUUUUAGUCUAUAUUUUUGAGGGAAGAAUUCAAUUCGGUCUUAAGAUAAUUAGCACUUUUAUAAUAUGCUUCUGUAAGUUUAUGAUAAGGAAGGUAAGUCCCCUGUAUUCUAAACAUACAGAUAAAUGAAGUGACCAGUUCACUCACACAACAGAGGAAUAAGAAAUUCGUAAACAAAACAUUAAUCUAAAAAUGACAGAAACUGCCUAGCUUUGUGCAAAUUCAUUUUAGUCACUGUAAGCGUAUACUGUUUAAUUUCAAAGUUCGAGAUGUUGACAUUUAAUUCUCCAACUGAAGCCUUAUUCAAUAGUAGAGGCUGGAUUUCCCCUAACUUCUUGCCUAGCACAUGACUGAGACCAAGUAUGAUGGCAGAAGAAAUCUACCUCCCCAUAGUGGUCAUGAUUUUUCCGUAACAAUUAUUUUGUUGGGCUUUUUACUUUGUGAUAUGUUCUCACCUUAGAAAAUGUAAUUAUAGAUAGAAUCUCACCUUCUAAAUUGGCUUUAAGACCAGAAGGAUCUUCAAAAUUACACAGUUUCAGGGAUGCCCCUUCUGCAUUAGAACAGAGCAUCUUGACUCCCUGGAGAUUUGCACACUGGCAAGAAAAAGAGAAAAGUCCACGUUUUAACAUUCAGAAUUUUGUGUGGAAAAGAAAAAAAUGGGCUCAAACAAUAAAAGAAAAAAAUAGAGAAGGGGAGGAAGCUCAAUUCCAUACACUCACAAUCAAUUAUUUUCUGUUUAUAAUGAAGACUUUUCUAACUGGAAUCAACCAAGAGCUGAGAACCACUUUGAAGAAACAGUUCUUUUGAAAGAACCAUUUUCAAAGAAACAACAACCUAAUUAACAACAGCAUGUCCAUUUUACACAGAUAAUGGUUUAGAUAAAAAAAAAUUGGGGGGUUAGGGGCACCUGGGUGGCUCAGCUGGUUGAGUGACUGACUUCGGCUCAGCUCAUGAUCUCCUGGUCUGGCCCAUGGGUUUGAACCCCACCGUUGGGCUCUGUAUUGACAGCUCAGAGCCUGGAGAUGGCUUCACAUUCUGUCUCCCUCUCUCUCUGUCCCUCCCCCGUUUACGCUCGGUCUCUCUCUUUCAAAACUAAAUAAACAUUAAAAAAAUUUAUUUAAAAAGUUGGGGGGUUAGAACUGUAACAUCCCUAUUUCUAUGUUUAUAAACAGUCCUGGGUAGGACACUAUGAGAGCUAAGAUGUAUGGGUAAGGAACACAUAAUCUUAUCAGGAGUAGGGAUUUCUCUUCUUUCUUACUGCAGGAAUCAAUAAAAUUCUUGAUGUUCAAU
Long non-coding RNA from Neofelis nebulosa (Clouded leopard), 5085 nucleotides. RefSeq lists it as uncharacterized. The record is from RefSeq and is a predicted model, not a curated record. NCBI's taxonomy places the organism in Eukaryota, Metazoa, Chordata, Mammalia, Carnivora, Felidae. The transcript is spliced from 3 exons.